AUUGAACGCUGGCGGCAGGCCUAACACAUGCAAGUCGAGCGCGAAAGUCUUCGGAUGAGUAAAGCGGCGAACGGGUGAGUAAUGCACGGGAAUCUGCCUGGUAGUGGGGGACAACGUCUCGAAAGGGACGCUAAUACCGCAUACGCCCUACGGGGAAAGGGGGGAGUCUUCGGACCUCUCGCUAUCAGAUGAGCCCAUGUCAGAUUAGCUAGUUGGUGAGGUAAAGGCUCACCAAGGCGACGAUCUGUAACUGGUCUGAGAGGAUGAUCAGUCACACUGGAACUGAGACACGGUCCAGACUCCUACGGGAGCAGCAGUGGGGAAUAAUUGGACAAUGGGGGGCAACCCUGAUCCAGCCAUGCCGCGUGUGUGAAGAA
This 377-nucleotide ribosomal RNA is filed under the name uncultured bacterium. Its description in RNAcentral is "bacterial SSU rRNA". It matches the Rfam family "Bacterial small subunit ribosomal RNA", at positions 30 to 412 of the family's 1533-position model. The record is from RNAcentral.